Long non-coding RNA from Gadus morhua (Atlantic cod), 1127 nucleotides. RefSeq lists it as uncharacterized. The transcript has 2 exons. The record is from RefSeq and is a predicted model, not a curated record. NCBI's taxonomy places the organism in Eukaryota, Metazoa, Chordata, Actinopteri, Gadiformes, Gadidae.
UUCACACUCCUGUUUGGAGCGGAAACCUCCUCCAAGUUAUUAGAGAAGUGGGACUCCACCUUCAAAUGCAAAAUCAUUGAAGAAGCAAGAUGCUUGACUCAGACUCACACUGUACGCCACCUUCUGAUGUCUGCAGAGAACCAAGACGCUGAACCAAGCGCUGAAUGGGACACGGAUAUAGCUACUCUACUGCUCUUAAUACACCUCCUCCCACCACAACCUGUCGGCAAGAAGUCUGUGAAGAUCAGUGCAGAUGCUGCAUCUGAAAGGCUCAUUGUUUAUCACUGAGAACACUUUGAAAAUUUUUAAAAAUAUAACAAAAUCCCUGGCUAAGAAACACCAGUUGGCAAUAGGCUAUCACUGGGAGAACCUUGCAUUAAAUAGGAGAGAAUUAGGUCCUUUAAAAGUAUUCAACACUGAUUAUGAUUUCACACAAUAUUUGGCCACCAUAAAUAAGACAAGCAGCACAGUAUAUAGCACUACAUGGGUCAAACUGGAUGGGUUAGAGUACAAGGAGGGAAAUGUUAUUUGCACUGAUAUACACGAUGAGCAACCAGUUUUUUGUAAAAUUUUUAAAAUUUGUCUGAUUGAAGAUGAUGUGUGUUUUCUUGUUAAUGAAUUUAUAACUAUGUGUUUUUAUGAGCAUUUCCAUGCAUAUGAAGUUAAUUUGGGUGAAGAAAGUUACUUUAUCAUUACAUUGAAUGACCUACAUAUGCACAAGGCUUUCGAUGUUCAAACAGCCUAUGGUCUGAAUGGGAAAUAUAUUGUCCCUGUGCAUUCAAUUUUUUAAAAAUGGGUCAAACUGGAUGGGUUAGAGUACAAGGAGGGAAAUGUUAUUUGCACUGAUAUACACGAUGAGCAACCAGUUUUUUGUAAAAUUUUUAAAAUUUGUCUGAUUGAAGAUGAUGUGCGUUUUCUUGUUAAUGAAUUUAUAACUGUGUUUUUAUGAGCAUUUCCAUGCAUAUGAAGUUAAUUUGGGUGAAGAAAGUUACUUUAUCAUUACAUUGAAUGACCUACAUAUGCACAAGGCUUUCGAUGUUCAAACAGCCUAUGGUCUGAAUGGUAAAUAUAUUGUCCCUGUGCAUUCAAUUUUUUAAAAAUGCGGUCAAUAAAAGAAAUGAAAUGAA